This 1914-nucleotide ribosomal RNA is filed under the name Triticum aestivum (bread wheat). RNAcentral's name for it is "partial small subunit ribosomal RNA". The record is from RNAcentral. Lineage: Eukaryota; Viridiplantae; Streptophyta; Magnoliopsida; Poales; Poaceae.
AUGGAGUUUCACCAGAACCUGAGAAGGCCCGUUGCCCUAUCAAGGAGUGUGGUCAUCACGGAGCAGAGCAGCAUACCCAGCCUGCUGCUCUUAGGUAAGCUCGUCUCUGAUGGCGGCCCGGACUCGGCCUCGCUCCAGGCCAAGCUUCGCCAAACUUGGUGUCCCUCGGGUAUGGUCAACUUCUGGCGAGUCACAGACGGUGCCUUGCUGAUCCAGUUCUACGAGGCGGAGGACCUGACCAGGGUGCUGGACGGAGCACCGUGGUCCUGCGACGGAGACAACCUCUUCCUCGUGCAGCACCUCAAGCCGGGAAUGAACAUGGUCGAUCAGAUCGCCGGGUUCACCAAGGCCGAGCUCUGGGUGCAGUUUCACCUCGUCCCCGAGGAUCACUGCAACCCCACCUCUAUCUAUGCGCUCGCCGCGCGCAUCGGCGAGCCGGUCAACUGCGAGCUGGGAGCGAACUCCAUCGAGUUCCUCCGGGCGCGGAUCCGGGUGGACAUCACGCGGCCUCUUCAGCCAUUGGUCGACGUCGAGCUGGAAAACGGCAAGGAAGCAUGGGUGUCCGUGGUGUAUGAGGGCAUCCCCAGCUUGUGCGGGUCCUGCAGGAUUCUGGGCCACCCGGCGGACCGCUGCCGCAGGGCAAACCAGGCUGCCGCUGCGGCGGCGUAUCGUUCGGAGAAGCCGCCCGUUUACAUUCCAAGCCGCCUAGGGUCAAGACAGUCCACGUCAAGAGCACCAUCAUCACCUCUCACGGAGAAGAAUUCUCCUCGUCAAGAAGCGAAUGCACCUGUGUUGGAGACUGCCCUGGCACCUCCAGCACCAAGAUCAGGGCAAGGGCGACACUUCUCAGUAAAAGGCAGCUGUUCCAACUUCUUCGAGAUCAUCUGUCUCAAAACGUCGACAAAGAAAGUCGGAAAGAUAAAACAUAGCAGCAGUGGGGAUAAUUUGCAAGACCAAGAUCAGGCACUACAGAUAAAUUCUGUACACGAAAGUGUUCAGGAGCCUUCCAUCAUAGAAACAAAAGUGCCUCAUCUAGACACCACCCUGAUCACAUACUCCCAUUUCACCGUGAAAGCACAAGGGUCAAGGUCAAGGAAGCAUGCGAGGAUCGAAGUGAUGUUGGAAACACAAUGCUCACCGCAGUUAAUAAUGGGAUCCAUGCAAUGGCUAUCUCAAAAGGGAAAAGGUUUGUGUGCAGAAUAUGAUGGCAAGUGUGGCAUCAUCAGUAUAUUCGCAUUGCAAAUUGAUCACAACACGGAUCCAGUUGAUCUAAUAAUAUAUCUGUUUCCCAAGUUCAGAACAAAUGCAGACACCGAUGAAAAACAUGAAAGCCCAGCAAGAUUUGCAGACACGAAGAUGUGUUUCCAUGACGAGAAUUGUUGUGAGGUGACCUUGAAGGAUUCUCAAAAAGAAAAAAAGGUUACCUUCAACGAAACAAGAAAUGAUUGGGACCCUUCAAUCAUGGAAGCAGAAGAUACUCAACUAGAUAACACCCUGAUCACACACUCACAUUUCAUUGUAAAAGCAAAAGGGUCAAGAUCGAUGAAACAUGCAAGAAUAGAUGUGAUGAUGAAAACACAAUGUUCACCACAGUUGAUAAUGGGAGCAAUGGACUGGCUAUCCCAAAAAGCGGAAGGUUUGUGUGCAGAGUAUGAUGGACAGAAAGGUAUCAUUAGUAUCUUCGGAUUGCAAAUUGAUCAAAACACAGAUCCAGUUGAUAUAGUCGCAUGCUUGUUUCCCAAGAUCGGCCCAAAAACUGAACUUGCAGAGACCAACAAAAAACCUGAUAGCCCGGCAAGAUUUGCAGACACGAUGAUGCGUUUCCAUGAUGCAAACUGUUGCAAAGUAACUUUAAAGGAUUCUCAGAAAGUAAAAAAGGUUACCUUCAAGGGAACAUCGAAGGAUGGUGUAUAA